UUCACCUGCCGAAUCAACUAGCCCUGAAAAUGGAUGGCGCUGGAGCGUCGGGUCCAUACCCGGCCGUCGCUUGGCGACAAGAGCCGUGAGGGCUACGCCGCGACGAGUAGGAAGGCCGCCGCGGUGAGCAUGGAAGCCUGGGGCGUGAGCCCGGGUGGAGCCGCCGUGGGUGCAGAUCUUGGUGGUAGUA
This 190-nucleotide ribosomal RNA is filed under the name Austrolebias bellottii. RNAcentral describes it as "partial 28S ribosomal RNA". It matches the Rfam family "Eukaryotic large subunit ribosomal RNA", at positions 1289 to 1462 of the family's 3401-position model. Lineage: Eukaryota; Metazoa; Chordata; Actinopteri; Cyprinodontiformes; Rivulidae. The record is from RNAcentral.